AACGAACGCUGGCGGCAGGCUUAACACAUGCAAGUCGAGCGAGACCUUCGGGUCUAGCGGCGGACGGGUGAGUAACGCGUGGGAACGUGCCCUUCUCUACGGAAUAGCCCCGGGAAACUGGGAGUAAUACCGUAUACGCCCUUUGGGGGAAAGAUUUAUCGGAGAAGGAUCGGCCCGCGUUGGAUUAGGUAGUUGGUGGGGUAAUGGCCCACCAAGCCGACGAUGCAUAGCUGGUUUGAGAGGAUGAUCAGCCACACUGGGACUGAGACACGGCCCAGACUCCUACGGGAGGCAGCAGUGGGGAAUCUUAGACAAGGGGGGCAAACCUGAUCUAGCCAUGCCGCGUGAGUGAUGAAGGCCUUAGGGUUGUAAAGCUCUUUCAGCUGGGAAGAUAAUGACGGUACCAGCAGAAGAAGCCCCGGCUAACUCCGUG
RNAcentral lists this ribosomal RNA (433 nucleotides) under uncultured bacterium. RNAcentral describes it as "partial 16S ribosomal RNA". It matches the Rfam family "Bacterial small subunit ribosomal RNA", at positions 29 to 507 of the family's 1533-position model. The record is from RNAcentral.